Molecule: non-coding RNA, 886 nt
Organism: Doryrhamphus excisus (bluestripe pipefish)
Lineage: Eukaryota; Metazoa; Chordata; Actinopteri; Syngnathiformes; Syngnathidae
Source: RefSeq, a predicted model, not a curated record
AAAAAAAAAAAAGUCCCACAAAGAGGAAAAGGCUGUCAAGUAUCAUGGAAGCUCUCCGCUUUUUAACUAUCCUUCGAUGACACGAUGAGAAAAGGUGAUUAGUUGUGUGAAGGUGUGAAACAUUUGAUCAGGUGACCGCCAUGUUGUAGUCGUCGAAAGCAUUUGGAGGCUGUUUGUUCCUUGACAAAAGAGAUUCUACGACAUGUCCGCUCAUAAACUCUGUCAGCCUUACAAAAAGGAGAGGAAAAGCAGUUUCUUCAAGCUGAUUGAGUCCUUUGCCUUGGAAAUCGGCACUUUGAAAAAGGAGAUGGGGAAAACGCCCGAGACAACAGAAGAAGACCACAAGAUGUCAGAUCCAAUGCUUGGCUGUCUUUGGGCGAGAGGCGGGGUACACCCUGGACUGGUGGCCAGCCAAUCACAGGGCACAUAUAGACAAACAACCAUUCACACUCACAUUCAUACCUAUGGACAAUUUGGAGUGGCUAAUUAACCUAACCUAAGAGUUAGUGGCGUCAUUAGGCCUAUUUUAAAAUGUUCUUAAGUCCCCCUAAAUAAUUAGAUUUUUUUUCAUUGAAUUUUUGAAUUUUCUAUUUUUAAAAUUUUUAAAAUUUUUAAAAUUUUUAAAAUUUUUAAAAUUUUUAAAAUUUUUAAAAUUUUUAAAAUGUUUUAAUUUUUUUUAAUUUUUUUAAUAUUUUAAGUUUUGUAUUUAUUUAUUUUUAUUUUACAACACAAAUCUCUGGCAAAUUGUAUAUAAUAGGGCAAAAGCAGGCUAAUACUAGCCUACUACUACUAGUAGUACUACUAGUAGUAGUAGUAGUAAUAAGCAUUCAUUCAUUUUCUACCGCUUAUCCUCACGAGGGUCGCGGGGGUGCUGGAGCCUAUCCCA